Molecule: ribosomal RNA, 471 nt
Filed under: uncultured bacterium
Lineage: Bacteria
Description: bacterial SSU rRNA
Rfam family: Bacterial small subunit ribosomal RNA
Source: RNAcentral
CAGGACGAACGCUGGCGGCGUGCUCAUACAUGCAAGUCGAACGAUAAGGCACCUUCGGGUGUACAUAAGUGGCGGACGGGUGAGUAAUAUGUAGAGAAUCUGCCCUAGAGCGGGGGACAACCGUUGGAAACGACAGCUAAUACCCCAUAUGAGCGUAGUUGAAAUACUAUUCUUGAAAACUCCGGUGCUCUGGGAUGAGUCUGCAUCUGAUUAGCUAGUUGGGGGUGUAAUGGACCACCAAGGCGAUGAUCAGUAGCUGGUUUGAGAGGAUGAUCAGCCACAAUGGGACUGAGACACGGCCCAUACUCCUACGGGAGGCAGCAGUAGGGAAUUUUGCGCAAUGGGGGAAACCCUGACGCAGCAACGCCGCGUGACCGAUGAAGCCCUUCGGGGUGUAAAGGUCUGUCAGUGGGGACGAAUUCUGACGGUACCCACAGAGGAAGCACCGGCUAACUCCGUGCCAGCCGCGGC